This 169-nucleotide ribosomal RNA is filed under the name uncultured Alphaproteobacteria bacterium. RNAcentral's name for it is "partial 16S ribosomal RNA". It matches the Rfam family "Bacterial small subunit ribosomal RNA", at positions 338 to 524 of the family's 1533-position model. Lineage: Bacteria; Pseudomonadati; Pseudomonadota; Alphaproteobacteria. The record is from RNAcentral.
CCAACGGGAGGCAGCAGUGGGGAAUAUUGGACAAUGGGCGGAAGCCUGAUCCAGCAAUGCCGCGUGAGUGAUGAAGGCCUUAGGGUUGUAAAGCUCUUUUACUAGGGAUGAUAAUGACAGUACCUGGAGAAUAAGCUCCGGCUAACUCCGUGCCAGCAGCCGCGGUAAU